AUAGAUUUUCUAAAUUAUUUUCGCGGUAACCAAUAAUAUUUAAUUAUUUUUAUUAUAUUUAUUACAAUAAAUGCUUGUCGUAACAAUAUAUUUAAUACACUAAUAAUAAAAAUAAAUAAUUCAUGAAUAAAAAGAUAAAAAAUACAUGUAUCUAUACUAAGAAAUAGAAUGAGAAUAAGUUUAGAUUCAGGGUGAGUUUUGAGAAAAAAAUAUUAUGAUUUUACACAUCCAAACUAAUAGGGAAGCCACAUGGAGUCGACUACACGAUAAGAUUACACAUAAUCGAAUAUAGUAUAAAGCAUGACAAUAAAAAGAACAUCGAAGAAUCUGUUCGAGAAACGACAAGUAAUACACGGAAUUUCAACACUUCCUAUACAAGUUCAGUGAGACAACCUCAACAUGUCAUCAAUAUAGAGAUUCAGUAACAGUUAUAAAGUAUCCAGCAUUCUUGAGAAAUUAACUAGUAUUUCUUCUGCAGUUUACAUUUCUUUCUUGUAACACAAUAUGAAUAUUACACAUUCUUUUGUGUAAUCCAUAUAAUAUUGGACAACCAGGCCGUAUACUCAAUCCCCAUCCAGAUUUUAAUUGUGGGGAGAAGGGAGAAUAUGGUGUCUUUAUACAUGCCUGCAGAGACUUCUAACAAAUUUUCAUCAUUAUUUUUUAACAAAUCAAAGCUUGCUAAUCGAAUACCUAUACCGGGUUUACAAAAGUGUCACCAAAGAUUCCCUAUCUCAGUGAAUCAUCAACCAUCCUGUAAUCGUGUUUCUUGCGACGGCAUCUGUAAUGAGACUUUUGAUCAGCGAAUGUGUUCUCCCCAACCAUCUCCAUUUUAGAAUCUGUAUCUGCUGCAAGGAAAAGGCAAAUCAGAUUUGUCAUGAACUGUGUAUUCACAUUAAAAGUUUCACCCCUGGUAAAUCAGAAACCUAACAACUAACACUUAAAUUCUUAUCACCAUAUCACAAAAUUGCCACCACUUUGCCUAAGAGUUUGUAGCUCAAUGGCAGAGAACUCCAGGAUGGUGCUUGUGGUCAGGAGUUCAACUCCAUCUCCAUGUCCUAUAGAGCUAAUAAAAAAAAAAGCCACCAAUUCAAAAGUGGCUAAAUGGCAAUUUCGCAUCUCAAAUAUCCAACUUUUCUUGCUCCAUCUUUUCUACAUGUAUAUUUGCCUUUCAAUUUUUUCUUCCCCACACAUACAGGAAAAACCAUUUACCAGUUCAAGAAACCAACUUUCAGGACCUCAUUAUGACUUAUAUACAGCACAAUUGUAUGUGAGUGACACAAGAUGAGCAAUCCCGUGUUUAUCUUUGGGCAUCAUAGGGGAAAGGGCACUAAGUAGGAUUUGAAAAUAUUAUGAACCCCAAAAGAUGACAAGAAGGACAAAUAAACAUCAACUAAAUAACCCUCUCUUUAUAUGGAUUCUCUAUGCUAUGUUGGUUAUUUAGGAAUUCUUGAAAGACACACUAACUCCCUAAAAGUUAGAUGCCUUUUACAAGAUAUAAUCCUGGGACAAUAACCCACAAACAUCUGACAAUUCAUCACUCACUGUUGGUAAAGUGAUGAACACUACUUAAAUAGCAGCAACUUGGAAAACCUAAGAGAAAAGAUCNNN
RNAcentral lists this long non-coding RNA (1608 nucleotides) under Carica papaya (papaya). RNAcentral's name for it is "long non-coding RNA (CPAP_LNC012075)". Lineage: Eukaryota; Viridiplantae; Streptophyta; Magnoliopsida; Brassicales; Caricaceae. The record is from RNAcentral.